Molecule: ribosomal RNA, 1240 nt
Filed under: metagenome
Description: bacterial LSU rRNA
Rfam family: Bacterial large subunit ribosomal RNA
Source: RNAcentral
UGAGUACGAGAUGCUACGGCAUCGAAGCAGUCUAUGUCAUACUUCCAAAAAAGCUUGCACUGUCAUAAACAAAGAAUGCCUGUACCAUAACCGACACAGGUGGGUAGGUAGAGUAUACUAAGGGGCGCGAGAUAACUCUCUCUAAGGAACUCGGCAAAAUGACUCCGUAACUUCGGGAGAAGGAGUGCCUUAUUUUUAAGGUUGCAAUAACAAGAUCCAAGCAACUGUUUACCAAAAACACAGGUCUCCGCUAAGUCGUAAGACGAUGUAUGGGGGCUGACGCCUGCCCAGUGCCAGAAGGUUAAAGAAGUUGGUUAGCAUUAGCGAAGCUGAUAACUGAAGCCCUGGUGAACGGCGGCCGUAACUAUAACGGUCCUAAGGUAGCGAAAUUCCUUGUCGGGUAAGUUCCGACCCGCACGAAAGGCGUAAUGAUUUGGAUACUGUCUCGGAGAGGGGCUCGGUGAAAUAGACUUGUCUGUGAAGAUGCGGACUACCUGCACCUGGACAGAAAGACCCUAUGAAGCUUUACUGUAACUUGAGAUUGAAAUUGGACUUUAUUUGCGCAGUAUAGGUGGGAGGCGUUGAGAAUAAUCUUGCGGGAUUGUUGGAGCCAUCAGUGAGAUACCACUCUUGUAAUGUUAGAUUUCUAACUUUGUAUCAUUAUCUGGUCAAAGAACAGUUUCAGGCGGGCAGUUUGACUGGGGCGGUCGCCUCCCAAAGGGUAACGGAGGCGCACAAAGGUUUCCUCUGAACGGGUAGAAAUCGUAUCUAGAGUGUAAAGGCAUAAGGAAGCUUGACUGUGAGACCUACAAGUCGAGCAGGGACGAAAGUCGGUCUUAGUGAUCUGACGGUGCUGAGUGGAAAGGCCGUCACUCAACGGAUAAAAGUUACUCUAGGAUAACAGGCUGAUCUCCCCCAAGAGUUCACAUCGACGGGGAGGUUUGGCACCUCGAUGUCGGCUCAUCGCAUCCUGGGGCGGUAGUCCGUCCCAAGGGUUGGGCUGUUCGCCCAUGAAAGCGGUACGCGAGCUGGGUUCAGAACGUCGUGAGACAGUUCGGUCCAUAUCCGGUGUAGGCGUUAGAAUAUUGAGAGGAGCCUUCUCUAGUACGAGAGGACCGAGAAGGACAUACCUCUGGUGUACCAGUUAUCGUGCCAACGGUAAACGCUGGGUAGCUAUGUAUGGAGUGGAUAACCGCUGAAAGCAUCUAAGUGGGAAGCCCACCUCAAGAUAAGUAUUCUC